CCUACGGGCGGCAGCAGUGGGGAAUAUUGGACAAUGGGCGAAAGCCUGAUCCAGCCAUGCCGCGUGUGUGAAGAAGGCCUUCGGGUUGUAAAGCACUUUCAGUGGGGAAGAAAGCCUUGGGGCUAAUACCCUCGAGGAAGGACAUCACCCACAGAAGAAGCACCGGCUAACUCCGUGCCAGCAGCCGCGGUAAUACGGAGGGUGCGAGCGUUAAUCGGAAUUACUGGGCGUAAAGCGCGCGUAGGCGGUCUGAUAAGCCGGUUGUGAAAGCCCCGGGCUCAACCUGGGAACGGCAUCCGGAACUGGCAGGCGAGAGUGCAGGAGAGGAAGGUAGAAUUCCCGGUGUAGCGGUGAAAUGCGUAGAGAUCGGGAGGAAUACCAGUGGCGAAGGCGGCCUUCUGGACUGACACUGACGCUGAGGUGCGAAAGCGUGGGUAGCAAACAGGAUUAGAUACCCGUGUAGUC
Molecule: ribosomal RNA, 465 nt
Filed under: Vreelandella stevensii
Lineage: Bacteria; Pseudomonadati; Pseudomonadota; Gammaproteobacteria; Oceanospirillales; Halomonadaceae
Description: partial 16S ribosomal RNA
Rfam family: Bacterial small subunit ribosomal RNA
Source: RNAcentral